This 346-nucleotide long non-coding RNA is filed under the name Ananas comosus (pineapple). Its description in RNAcentral is "long non-coding RNA (ACOM_LNC041643)". The record is from RNAcentral. Lineage: Eukaryota; Viridiplantae; Streptophyta; Magnoliopsida; Poales; Bromeliaceae.
UACUAAGAUUACUAUAUCAUAAGCAUUAUGAUGUCAAUGUGUUGUACAUCUACUCUAUCAUAAGGAAGUAUGUCCAAUGCAUGAGAAAUAUGUCCCAAAAUGGCAACAAGUAAGUAUCAUGAUCCGUUCUAUCAAUAUAUGAUGAUUAUGCUCUAUCAUGGCAACCAAGUAUACUAUGAUGCAAUAAGUAAACUAUCAAGUAUACUACAUGUCUCAACACUAUGCUAUAAGCAUGUCAAAGUAAUCCAACUAUUAAGCCUAUCUAGUAGUGAUUAUCAUUUUCCGGUUCAAUGUCAGUGUUUCCAUCAUGUUCUAGGACCUACAUAAAUGUAGUCCAGCUUGUGCC